GCUGGCGGCGUGCUUACACAUGCAACUCGAACGAUGAAGCCCUUCGGGGUGGAUUACUGGCGAACGGGUGAGUAACACGUGGGCAAUCUGCCCUUCACUCUGGGACAAGCCCUGGAAACGGGGUCUAAUACCGGAUAACACCGGCUUCCGCAUGGAGGCUGGUUGAAAGCUCCGGCGGUGAAGGAUGAGCCCGCGGCCUAUCAGCUUGUUGGUGGGGUAAUGGCCUACCAAGGCGACGACGGGUAGCCGGCCUGAGAGGGCGACCGGCCACACUGGGACUGAGACACGGCCCAGACUCCUACGGGAGGCAGCAGUGGGGAAUAUUGCACAAUGGGCGAAAGCCUGAUGCAGCGACGCCGCGUGAGGGAUGACGGCCUUCGGGUUGUAAACCUCUUUCAGCAGGGAAGAAGCGAAAGUGACGGUACCUGCAGAAGAAGCGCCGGCUAACUAGGGCGCAACAGCCGCGGUAAUACGUAGGGCGCAAGCGUUGUCCGGAAUUAUUGGGCGUAAAGAGCUCGUAGGCGGCUUGUCACGUCGGGUGUGAAAGCCCGGGGCUUAACCCCGGGGUCUGCAUCCGAUACGGGCAAGCUAAAGUGUGGUAGGGGAGAUCGGAAUUCCUGGUGUAACGGUGAAAUGCGCAAAUAUCAGGAGGAACACCGGUUGGCGAAGGCGGAUCUCUGGGCCAUUACUGAACCCU
Molecule: ribosomal RNA, 697 nt
Filed under: uncultured bacterium
Lineage: Bacteria
Description: bacterial SSU rRNA
Rfam family: Bacterial small subunit ribosomal RNA
Source: RNAcentral